UGGGGAAUAUUGCGCAAUGGGCGAAAGCCUGACGCAGCGACGCCGCGUGUGGGAUGACGGCCUUCGGGUUGUAAACCACUGUCGGGAGGGACGAAUGCGCCGCAAGGCGAGUGACGGUACCUCCAAAGGAAGCACCGGCUAACUCCGUGCCAGCAGCCGCGGUAAUACGGAGGGUGCGAGCGUUGUCCGGAAUCACUGGGCGUAAAGGGCGCGUAGGCGGCCUGAUAAGUAGGGGGUGAAAUCCUGCGGCUUAACCGCAGGGCUGCCUUCUAAACUGUCAGGCUAGAGCACGGUAGAGGCAGAUGGAAUUCCCGGUGUAGCGGUGGAAUGCGUAGAGAUCGGGAAGAACAUCAGUGGCGAAGGCGGUCUGCUGGGCCGUUGCUGACGCUGAGGCGCGACAGCGUGGGGAGCAAACAGGAUUAGAUACCCCCGUAGUCC
This 438-nucleotide ribosomal RNA is filed under the name uncultured bacterium. RNAcentral's name for it is "bacterial SSU rRNA". It matches the Rfam family "Bacterial small subunit ribosomal RNA", at positions 355 to 796 of the family's 1533-position model. The record is from RNAcentral.